RNAcentral lists this long non-coding RNA (521 nucleotides) under Phoenix dactylifera (date palm). RNAcentral's name for it is "long non-coding RNA (PDAC_LNC021727)". The record is from RNAcentral. Lineage: Eukaryota; Viridiplantae; Streptophyta; Magnoliopsida; Arecales; Arecaceae.
GAGCCCUAGGGUAUGAGAGAUUGCCGUAUAUUUGAGAGAGACUCUUGUUUGUGAGGCUAGGGUUCUAGAGAAGAAGAGGAUUGGGAUCCUACUUCUUGUGCAAAGGGAAUUCUGUGUGAAUCUCUUGUAGAUCGAUCGCUUGUGAUCGUUCUGGUAUGUGCUAUCUCUGUAAUCUGUUCAUCCUAGUAGAGAUUUGGAGCGGUGGAGGACGUAGGCUACUUGUAGCCGAACCUCGUUACAUCUUUGUGUUUGCUUUGCUAUUUUCUUCCUUCUUCUUCCUUUGAUCUUUGAUAAUCUGCUGCGGUGCUCAAGUGUUUUACCCUACUGAUACUAGGGAUAAUCUUUUGCCCUUCGCAGCGGAAGCGAAGUGGUGAUCCUUGAGUCCGGUGUCGAGGGAGCGAGAGAGUGCUUAUCCGUUUGUUCUCCCUUUUGCUUGUCCGACGUCGGUGGCGGUGCCGGUGUGAGUGGGUUCCGGCGCGGGCGCUGACAACAAGUGGUAUCAGAGCUAUUGGUAUUUUGCG